CCCGCGGACCCUCUCUCCGCGCGGAGAUGCGCCUCAGCCGAGCGGUCAGUCAGAUUUAGCUAUCAGUCGCCGGCGCACGCUCGCUUGCCUUGCGCAGUGACUAUCGUGUGGCCGGCGACAAAUGAUUAAUAUUUUAAUAGAUAUCUGUAUCGUUUAAUAUCUUCAAAUGUAAAUGAGUAGUGUUUAAAUCCCCAAUUGGGGUGCUAUGGUACGGGUGAUCACCGGCCAUGAGACCACCAUCACGCUGACUCCAAGGACCUGGUGCUGACCCUGGCAGUCACGGCUGACGUUCUUCAGCACUCCGUCACUUCACCUACAUAGCGGAGCCAGGGAAGUACUAGCGUGUGGGCUACAGCUGCUUUCUUAAUCCGGGAGUAAAAUUAAUCAGACGGUUAACGGACUUUGACCCUUCGACGAUUGUUUCGAAUGCUUGCGACGGUUUAAGCGGAAUAAAUUUGUGAAGUGAGA
Molecule: long non-coding RNA, 468 nt
Filed under: Leguminivora glycinivorella
Lineage: Eukaryota; Metazoa; Arthropoda; Insecta; Lepidoptera; Tortricidae
Description: uncharacterized LOC125224913
Source: RNAcentral